AUGAGUAUCUUCAGCGACUCAUUGAUGAUAUUCGAAUGAAGAAGUUUGAUUCCACUGGUUCAGUAGUGGAGAAAUUCUUGAAGCUUCAAGAAUCAGAACCUGAAUUUUACUCUGAUGAUGUUAUCAAAGGAAUUGUAGUGUUAAUGUUCAACGCCGGAUCGGAUACUUCACCGGUGACAAUGGAAUGGGCAAUGGCGCUUUUACUGAACCAUCCAGAUAAGCUUGACAAGGUCAGAGAAGAAAUCAAAUCUAAUGUUAAACACAAAGGGAUUAUACAAGACUCGGAUCUCUCAAGCUUACCUUAUCUUCGAUGUGUCAUCUAUGAGACGCUUAGGCUACACCCUGCAGCUCCUAUCUUGCCUCCUCACUGUUCAUCCAAGAGAUUCAACUUAGGCAACUACGAGAUCCCUGAAAAUACAGUGUUGUUGGUGAAUG
RNAcentral lists this long non-coding RNA (435 nucleotides) under Arabidopsis thaliana (thale cress). RNAcentral's name for it is "long non-coding RNA (ATHA_LNC000360)". The record is from RNAcentral. Lineage: Eukaryota; Viridiplantae; Streptophyta; Magnoliopsida; Brassicales; Brassicaceae.